AGAUUGAACGCUGGCGGAAUGCUUUACACAUGCAAGUCGAGCGGCAGCGCGGGGGCAACCCUGGCGGCGAGCGGCGAACGGGUGAGUAAUACAUCGGAACAUGUCCAGUUGUGGGGGAUAGCCCGGCGAAAGCCGGAUUAAUACCGCAUGAGCUCGAGAGAGGAAAGCGGGGGACCGUAAGGCCUCGCGCGACUGGGUUGGCCGAUGUCCGAUUAGCUAGUUGGUGGGGUAAAGGCCUACCAAGGCGAUGAUCGGUAGCUGGUCUGAGAGGAUGAUCAGCCACACUGGGACUGAGACACGGCCCAGACUCCUACGGGAGGCAGCAGUGGGGAAUUUGGACAAUGGGGGCAACCCUGAUCCAGCCAUUCCGCGUGAGUGAAGAAGGCCUUCGGGUUGUAAAGCUCUUUUGUCCGGAGCGAAACGGUGGCGGUGAAUAUCCGCACUACUGACGGUACCGAAGAAUAAAGCAACCGGCUAACUACGUGUCAGCAGCCGC
This 496-nucleotide ribosomal RNA is filed under the name uncultured soil bacterium. Its description in RNAcentral is "bacterial SSU rRNA". It matches the Rfam family "Bacterial small subunit ribosomal RNA", at positions 26 to 518 of the family's 1533-position model. The record is from RNAcentral.